AAAUUAUGAGGUAGAGAAUGUGCUUCCGCGCACCCGUGUGGUCAAGAGAAAUGUGGGACACGGCACACCCACCAUAAUUU
This 80-nucleotide non-coding RNA is filed under the name unclassified sequences. Its description in RNAcentral is "skipping-rope RNA". It matches the Rfam family "skipping-rope RNA". From Rfam's summary of the family: Firmicutes, Fusobacteria, AlphaProteobacteria, Spirochaetes. Downstream gene The record is from Rfam by way of RNAcentral.